This 854-nucleotide ribosomal RNA is filed under the name uncultured Alphaproteobacteria bacterium. Its description in RNAcentral is "bacterial SSU rRNA". It matches the Rfam family "Bacterial small subunit ribosomal RNA", at positions 527 to 1382 of the family's 1533-position model. The record is from RNAcentral. Lineage: Bacteria; Pseudomonadati; Pseudomonadota; Alphaproteobacteria.
GAAGGGACCUAGCGUAGUUCGGAAUUACUGGGCUUAAAGAGUUCGUAGGUGGUUGAAAAAGUUGGUGGUGAAAUCCCAGAGCUUAACUCUGGAACUGCCAUCAAAACUUUUCAGCUAGAGUAUGAUAGAGGAAAGCAGAAUUUCUAGUGUAGAGGUGAAAUUCGUAGAUAUUAGAAAGAAUACCAAUUGCGAAGGCAGCUUUCUGGAUCAUUACUGACACUGAGGAACGAAAGCAUGGGUAGCGAAGAGGAUUAGAUACCCUCGUAGUCCAUGCCGUAAACGAUGUGUGUUAGACGUUGGAAAUUUAUUUUCAGUGUCGCAGCGAAAGCGAUAAACACACCGCCUGGGGAGUACGACCGCAAGGUUAAAACUCAAAUGAAUUGACGGGGACCCGCACAAGUAGUGGAGCAUGUGGUUUAAUUCGAAGAUACGCGCAGAACCUUACCAACACUUGACAUGUUCGUCGCGACUUUAAGAGAUUAGAGUUUUCGGUUCGGCCGGACGAAACACAGGUGCUGCAUGGCUGUCGUCAGCUCGUGUCGUGAGAUGUUGGGUUAAGUCCCGCAACGAGCGCAACCCUCACUUUUAGUUGCCAUCAUUAAGUUGGGCACUCUGAAAGAACUGCCAGUGAUAAGCUGGAGGAAGGUGGGGAUGACGUCAAGUCCUCAUGGCCCUUACGUGUUGGGCUACACACGUGCUACAAUGGUAUCUACAACAGGAAGCAAGACUGCGAAGUUAAGCAAAUCCUUAAAAGAUACCUCAGUUCGGAUUGCACUCUGCAACUCGAGUGCAUGAAGCUGGAAUUACUAGUAAUCGUGGAUCAGCGUGCCACGGUGAAUGCGUUCCCGGGUCUU